UACAGAGGUCCCAAGCGUUGUUCGGAAUUACUGGGCGUAAAGGGCUCGUAGGUGGCCAACUAAGUCAGACGUGAAAUCCCUCGGCUUAACCGGGGAACUGCGUCUGAUACUGGAUGGCUUGAGAUUGGGAGAGGGAUGCGGAAUUCCAGGUGUAGCGGUGAAAUGCGUAGAUAUCUGGAAGAACACCAGUGGCGAAGGCGGUCAACUGGCCCGAAGCUGACGCUGAGGCACGAAAGCGUGGGGAGCGAACAGG
RNAcentral lists this ribosomal RNA (253 nucleotides) under uncultured bacterium. RNAcentral describes it as "partial 16S ribosomal RNA". It matches the Rfam family "Bacterial small subunit ribosomal RNA", at positions 524 to 776 of the family's 1533-position model. The record is from RNAcentral.